UACAGGGGGUGCAAACGUUGUUCGGAUUUACUGGGCGUAAAGGGCGCGUAGGCGGUCGUGACAGUCACUUGUGAAAUCUCCGGGCUUAACUCGGAACGGUCAAGUGAUACUGUCGGACUAGAGUACAGAAGGGGCAACUGGAAUUCUCGGUGUAGCGGUGAAAUGCGUAGAUAUCGAGAGGGAACACCUGGCGGCGAAGGCGGGUUGC
Molecule: ribosomal RNA, 208 nt
Filed under: uncultured bacterium
Lineage: Bacteria
Description: partial 16S ribosomal RNA
Rfam family: Bacterial small subunit ribosomal RNA
Source: RNAcentral